RNAcentral lists this ribosomal RNA (468 nucleotides) under uncultured bacterium. Its description in RNAcentral is "partial 16S ribosomal RNA". It matches the Rfam family "Bacterial small subunit ribosomal RNA", at positions 28 to 507 of the family's 1533-position model. The record is from RNAcentral.
GACGAACGCUGGCGGCGUGCUUAACACAUGCAAGUCGAACGGAAAGGCCCUGCUUUUGUGGGGUGCUCGAGUGGCGAACGGGUGAGUAACACGUGAGUAACCUGCCCUUGACUUUGGGAUAACUUCAGGAAACUGGGGCUAAUACCGGAUAGGAGCUCCUGCUGCAUGGUGGGGGUUGGAAAGUUUCGGCGGUUGGGGAUGGACUCGCGGCUUAUCAGCUUGUUUGUGGGGUAGUGGCUUACCAAGGCUUUGACGGGUAGCCGGCCUGAGAGGGUGAACGGCCCCAUUGGGACUGAGAUACGGCCCAGACUCCUACGGGAGGCAGCAGUGGGGAAUAUUGCACAAUGGGCGGAAGCCUGAUGCAGCAACGCCGCGUGCGGGAUGACGGCCUUCGGGUUGUAAACCGCUUUCGCCUGUGACGAAGCGUGAGUGACGGUAAUGAGUAAAGAAGCACCGGCUAACUACGUG